GCCAGGAGUGGUGGCACGUGCCUGUAAUCCCAGCUACUCGGGAGGCUGAGGCAGGAGAAUCGCUUGAACCCAGGAGGUGGAGGUUGCAGUGAGCUGAGAUGGCGCCACUGCACUCCAGCCUGGGUGACAAAGCGAGACUCUGCCUCAA
This 148-nucleotide non-coding RNA is filed under the name Nomascus leucogenys (northern white-cheeked gibbon). The record is from Rfam by way of RNAcentral. Lineage: Eukaryota; Metazoa; Chordata; Mammalia; Primates; Hylobatidae.